Saccostrea cuccullata (small rock oyster) is the source of this 720-nucleotide long non-coding RNA. RefSeq lists it as uncharacterized. The record is from RefSeq and is a predicted model, not a curated record. The transcript has 3 exons. Lineage: Eukaryota; Metazoa; Mollusca; Bivalvia; Ostreida; Ostreidae.
AAUAUAUUCCAACUGAGAGAUGAAAAAAACUUUUUUAUUUAAACUACUUAUCCUACGUGACUAACAUUUUGCCAUUAUAUGUCAGAAAAGGUAGGAAUAGCUUAACAUAUUUUGGUAAAUUUAUUCGAAUUCUUCAUCAGAAAAAUGACGGAUGAAGGAUAUGGAGGUAACGAACAGUAUUUAAUAUCAAAGUCCAUAAAACAAUACAAAAUAGGAGCAGAGCAAACACAGACCUCCGAUACAUCAGAGGUGGAAUCAGGUGCCAUGAAGGAGUGAGCAUCCCCUGCUGUUUGUUGUAUGUUUGCUAAUAGUUUAAAAGAAUUUCAAGUAAUGCCUAUAUUUACUUUUGCCUAAAAUAUGUUAUACGUAUACACCCAAUAGUUAAUAAAAUAUUUUUAUAAAAAGAACGCUAGGGUUUAAUUGUCUAUAUUUACGCGGCAGGAAUUAUACCGACAUAAUUUUGACAGCUUCUAUCUUCGCCUUCUUCUGAUAGAAUAAGUGAUUAUUUAAUUAAUUCAUUUGUAGUCGACAGAACCUUUGCGACACAUUCCCAGAGAUGAAAUGCGGCAUGUGAAAUCUAGCACAAUAAAUAAGCACACUGGCGGAAUUCAUGGUAUGUUUGAGUUGUACACGGAAAAUCGAACUUUUUAUAUCGAGUGUGAAAGUCCUGCCGAGGUUCAGGCAUGGAUCAAAGCAAUUAAAUCUCUUCUGCCCCGCAAG